This 329-nucleotide unclassified non-coding RNA is filed under the name soil metagenome. Its description in RNAcentral is "partial contains 5.8S ribosomal RNA, internal transcribed spacer 2, and large subunit ribosomal RNA". The stretch from base 1 to 120 matches the Rfam family "5.8S ribosomal RNA", at positions 35 to 154 of the family's 154-position model. The record is from RNAcentral.
GAUGAGGAACGUAGCGAAAUGCGAUAAGUAAUGUGAAUUGCAGAAUUCAGUGAAUCAUCGAAUCUUUGAACGCACAUUGCGCCCCUUGGUAUCCCGAGGGGCAUGCCUGUUCGAGCGUCAUUUCACCACUCAAGCCUGGCUUGGUGUUGGGCGACGUCCUCUUUGGGGACGCGCCUCGAAACGCUCGGCGGCGUGGCACCGGCUUUAAGCGUAGCAGAAUCUUUCGCUUUGGAAGUCGGGGCCCCGUCUGCCGGAAGACCUGCUCGCAAGGUUGACCUCGGAUCAGGCAGGGAUACCCGCUGAACUUAAGCAUAUCAAUAAGCGGAGGA